Molecule: ribosomal RNA, 484 nt
Filed under: uncultured bacterium
Lineage: Bacteria
Description: partial 16S ribosomal RNA
Rfam family: Bacterial small subunit ribosomal RNA
Source: RNAcentral
AUUGAACGCUGGCGGCAGGCCAAACACAUGCAAGUCGAGCGGAUGAAGGGAGCUUGCUCCUGGAUUCAGCGGCGGACGGGUGAGUAAUGCCUAGGAAUCUGCCUGGUAGUGGGGGAUAACGUCCGGAAACGGGCGCUAAUACCGCAUACGUCCUGAGGGAGAAAGUGGGGGAUCUUCGGACCUCACGCUAUCAGAUGAGCCUAGGUCGGAUUAGCUAGUUGGUGGGGUAAAGGCCUACCAAGGCGACGAUCCGUAACUGGUCUGAGAGGAUGAUCAGUCACACUGGAACUGAGACACGGUCCAGUCUCCUACGGGAGGCAGCAGUGGGGAAUAUUGGACAAUGGGCGAAAGCCUGAUCCAGCCAUGCCGCGUGUGUGAAGAAGGUCUUCGGAUUGUAAAGCACUUUAAGUUGGGAGGAAGGGCAGUAAGUUAAUACCUUGCUGUCUUGACGUUACCAACAGAAUAAGCACCGGCUAACUUCGUG